GACGAACGCUGGCGGCAUGCCUAACACAUGCAAGUCGAGCGAGCAGAUCCCUUCGGGGUGAAGCUAGCGGCGGACGGGUGAGUAACACGUGGGCAACCUGCCUCAUAGAGGGGAAUAGCCUUCCGAAAGGAAGAUUAAUACCGCAUAAGAUUGUAGCUUCGCAUGAAGCAGCAAUUAAAGGAGCAAUCCGCUAUGAGAUGGGCCCGCGGCGCAUUAGCUAGUUGGUGAGGUAACGGCUCACCAAGGCGACGAUGCGUAGCCGACCUGAGAGGGUGAUCGGCCACAUUGGGACUGAGACACGGCCCAGACUCCUACGGGAGGCAGCAGUGGGGAAUAUUGCACAAUGGGGGAAACCCUGAUGCAGCAAUGCCGCGUGAGUGAUGACGGCCUUCGGGUUGUAAAGCUCUGUCUUCGGGGACGAUAAUGACGGUACCCGAGGAGGAAGCCACGGCUAACUACGUGCCAGCCGCCGCGGUAA
RNAcentral lists this ribosomal RNA (478 nucleotides) under uncultured bacterium. Its description in RNAcentral is "partial 16S ribosomal RNA". It matches the Rfam family "Bacterial small subunit ribosomal RNA", at positions 28 to 523 of the family's 1533-position model. The record is from RNAcentral.